AACGAACGCUGGCGGCAUGCCUAACACAUGCAAGUCGAACGAGACCUUCGGGUCUAGUGGCGCACGGGUGCGUAACGCGUGGGAACCUGCCCUUAGGUUCGGAAUAACUCCCCGAAAGGGGUGCUAAUACCGGAUAAUGUCUUCGGACCAAGGAUUUAUCGCCUUUGGAUGGGCCCGCGUUGGCUUAGCUAGUUGGUAGGGUAAAAGCAUACCAAGGCGAGGAUCCAUAGCUGGUCUGAGAGGAUGAUCAGCCACACUGGGACUGAGACACGGCCCAGACUCCUACGGGAGGGAGCAGUGGGGAAUAUUAGACGCUGGGCGAUAGCCUGAUCCAGCAGUGCCGCGUGAGUGAUGAAGGCCUUAGGGUUGUAAAGCUCUUUUACCCGGGAUGAUAAUGACAGUACCGGGAGAAUAAGCUCCGGCUAACUCCGUG
This 433-nucleotide ribosomal RNA is filed under the name uncultured bacterium. Its description in RNAcentral is "partial 16S ribosomal RNA". It matches the Rfam family "Bacterial small subunit ribosomal RNA", at positions 29 to 507 of the family's 1533-position model. The record is from RNAcentral.